Molecule: long non-coding RNA, 495 nt
Organism: Pygocentrus nattereri (red-bellied piranha)
Lineage: Eukaryota; Metazoa; Chordata; Actinopteri; Characiformes; Serrasalmidae
Source: Ensembl
CAGAAUGCUAAAAGAAGACUGGGGGUGUUUGUGUGCAUGCAGGGCAGCAGGAGAGUGUAUGAGCUGGAGGUCAGGAAUCAGGCCGCAGCUUUGGAGAGGCAGUUGAGAAGAGGAGCUUACAGAGACUCUCUGGAGGGCAGUGAGUACAUGCAGUAUCUAAGGCAGAGCCAGCAUGAGAUCCUGAGAGAGGAGGAGAGGAGGUACCGCUUCCUCGCUGAAAAACACUGCGGGUUGACGCAAACACUGCUGUUCCUCAUCAACAAGGUAAACCAGGGUUGUGAAUCUCCCACCUCACAAUUUGAACUGCUUAAUGUUCUUCAGGAAACAAUCCAGUGCAUCAAAUUUUACAUUUGUUCAGUUGAAACUACACAUGCGUCGGUUGGGGGAGCUCAGCUUCAAUCACUGGCGAUGCCACAGCUAUCUGCGUCUGGAAGGCCAGGAGAUCGGCAGUCCUCUCUCUCUCUGAGUGGGUGGGAUGGUCCACUCUCUCGCUAC